AAUUCCCCCACUCGUCCACAAAUUUCAUCUUAAUAUCUGGCUUAAAAAUCAUUAAAAGUAUUUUCAGAAUGCGAUUUAAUAUAAAAAAACAUGAGAAAAGUUAAUGAAGGGAACCAAUUUAAUCUUUAAUUACCAAAAAAUAAUCAAAAAGCUUUAUUGAACUAGAAAUGAGACAAUCUAAUGUGAUUCAAUGUUUUUUAGCUGAUUAAAUGAAUUCUCAUUCCUGUUAAGAAUAUAUGAUAUUUAUCAAUCGAAAAUUUUGUCCUUUAAAGAUCAAUAAUGCAAAAUUUUAUUUUGAAAAUCAACAAAAUUAAAUAAAAUAUCUUGCAAUUGAUUAAAAUUAUCAACUUUUUAAAUGUUAGCAAAAAGUUAAAGUACUUGAGCAUGCUCAAUAUGAUGGGUGCCUUUGGAUUUCUUGAAUCCGUUGCCUUGGUUAUCAAAGAUGCUAAAUGCUCUUCUUUGAUUGGUUAGGUGCCUUUGCAUUUCUAGACUCCUGUCAACUUUUUUUGCAGCUUCAUUAUUGGCCAUGGACAAGUAAUGCCAUCUAGCGAGGAAAAAAAUAAUUUUUGGCGGUUUUUGGUCUUUUGGUUAUUUUUUGGUUUUUUUCACUUGUUUACAUUUUUUCCUUAUGGAUUUGGUAAUUAAGUUAUUUGUUUGCUCUCAAGCUAUCAAUUGCUAAUUUGAUAAUUUUAUUUACAAUUAAGUACAAGCAUACAUAUAUAUUAAUCAUGUUAUUAUCGUUGUCAAUUUGUGAGAAAAAGUUAAAUAAAUAGCAAUGAAUAUCAAAGAUUAACCAUUACCGUAAAGGUAGUCAUAAGGAAAAUAACUGUGUUUAUUUUUGCUUUAAAAGAUAUUUUUUUAUAACAAUUUAGCAAAUAUUCAGCUCUAACAGACUAAUAAAGUGUCGGUAUUAAAGUUCAUCAUCUGUCUGGGUUCUGUUAUUUACUCGUUGAUCUUUUAAGCUUGCUGCUGGUGAACCAAAAAAAAGUGAAAUAUGCAUCUUGAUGUAAUAUAAUUUAUAAUUUAUUUUUAAAUGUGGGACGGUUGAAGAUGAGGCCAACUCCGGUAAGGUUGAGGAUACAGUUGACGAAGGUGAUGAUUGAGAUGAGAAGUUUAACCUUAAUCGGGCGAUCAAAGUUCUUAUUUCAUCAGUGAUUCGGCUCAUACGGACCCGU
Tetranychus urticae (two-spotted spider mite) is the source of this 1175-nucleotide long non-coding RNA. RefSeq lists it as uncharacterized. Lineage: Eukaryota; Metazoa; Arthropoda; Arachnida; Trombidiformes; Tetranychidae. The record is from RefSeq and is a predicted model, not a curated record.